Molecule: ribosomal RNA, 1473 nt
Filed under: metagenome
Description: bacterial LSU rRNA
Rfam family: Bacterial large subunit ribosomal RNA
Source: RNAcentral
UUGAAAUUCCUGUACUGCGAUAUAUCAGAAAUGUGGGGACACAGAAGGAAAGUGUGAGCCGGGAAAGGAAAGACCGGUGCAAGCACAGGAGGAGGGAUACAGGCAAAUCCGUAUCCCAAUCCAAUGGUGUUACGCGGAGCGAACAAAAGUAGCGAAGCACACAGACCAUCUGUCGAGAAAAGCCGCUAUUGUGUAUACCGUACCCGUACCGUAAACCGACACAGGUGGAUGAGGAGAGAAUCCUAAGGCCGGCGGGAGAAGCAUUGUUAAGGAACUCGGCAAAAUGACCCCGUAACUUCGGGAGAAGGGGUGCUCACGCAAGUGAGCCGCAGAGAACUGGCCCAAGCAACUGUUUAGCAAAAACACAGGUCUAUGCAAAACCGAAAGGUGAGGUAUAUGGGCUGACGCCUGCCCGGUGCUGGAAGGUUAAGAGGAGAUGUUAGAGCAAUCGAAGCAUUGAAUUUAAGCCCCAGUAAACGGCGGCCGUAACAAUAACGGUCCUAAGGUAGCGAAAUUCCUUGUCGGGUAAGUUCCGACCCGCACGAAAGGCGUAAUGAUUUGGGCACUGUCUCGACAAUGCACCCGGUGAAAUUGAAAUACCAGUGAAGAUGCUGGUUACCUGCGCCAGGACGGAAAGACCCCAUGGAGCUUUACUCUAGCUUGAUACUGGGAUUCGGUAUUGCAUGUACAGGAUAGGUGGGAGACUAAGAGGUGAUGACGCCAGUUGUCACGGAGUCGAUGUUGGGAUACCACCCCUGCAGUACUGGGUUUCUAACCUGCGGCCGUGACCCGGCCGGGGGACAAUGUCUGGUGGGGAGUUUGACUGGGGCGGUCGCCUCCGAAAGGGUAUCGGAGGCGCUCAAAGGUUCCCUCAGAAUGGUUGGAAACCAUUCGAAGAGUGCAAAGGCAGAAGGGAGCUUGACUGCGACACCGACGGGUGGAGCAGGUACGAAAGUAGGACUUAGUGAUCCGGUGGUAUGAAAGUGGGAUUGCCAUCGCUCAACGGAUAAAAGCUACCCUGGGGAUAACAGGCUUAUCACUCCCAAGAGUUCACAUCGACGGAGUGGUUUGGCACCUCGAUGUCGGCUCAUCGCAUCCUGGGGCUGUAGUAGGUCCCAAGGGUUGGGCUGUUCGCCCAUUAAAGCGGUACGCGAGCUGGGUUCAGAACGUCGUGAGACAGUUCGGUCCCUAUCCGGCGUGGGCGUAGGAUAUCUGAGAGGAGCUGUCCUUAGUACGAGAGGACCGGGAUGGACUGACCUCUGGUGCAUCGGUUGAGCCACCAGGCUCAUGGCCGAGUAGCCAAGUCGGGACGGGAUAAACGCUGAAGGCAUCUAAGCGUGAAGCCCCCCUCAAGAUGAGAUAUCCCAUAGAGUAAUCUAGUAAGACCCCUUGAAGACGACGAGGUAGAUAGGCAGAAGGUGGAAGUGUGGUGACAUAUGGAGCUGAUCUGUACUAAUAGGUCGAGGGCUUAAC